Molecule: transfer RNA, 72 nt
Filed under: Loxodonta africana (African savanna elephant)
Lineage: Eukaryota; Metazoa; Chordata; Mammalia; Proboscidea; Elephantidae
Rfam family: tRNA
About the family: Transfer RNA (tRNA) molecules are approximately 80 nucleotides in length.
Source: Rfam by way of RNAcentral
GCACGAGUGGCACAAUGGUUAAGUGCUCGGCUGCCAACCGAAAGGUUGGUGGUUUGAGCCCACCCAGCGGCU